Molecule: ribosomal RNA, 411 nt
Filed under: uncultured bacterium
Lineage: Bacteria
Description: bacterial SSU rRNA
Rfam family: Bacterial small subunit ribosomal RNA
Source: RNAcentral
GGCGCACGGGUGCGUAACGCGUAUGCAACCUACUCUUACAUGGGAUAGCCCAGNGAAAUUUGGAUUAAUACCGCAUAGUAUACAGAUUCAGCAUUGGGACUGUAUUAAACAUUUAUGGGUAAGAGAUGGGCAUGCGUUCUAUUAGUUAGUUGGAGUGGUAACGGCACCCCAAGACAGCGAUAGAUAGGGGCCCUGAGAGGGGGAUCCCCCCACACUGGUACUGAGACACGGACCAGACUCCUACGGGAGGCAGCAGUGAGGAAUAUUGGACAAUGGGCGAGAGCCUGAUCCAGCCAUGCCGCGUGCAGGAAGACGGCCCUAUGGGUUGUAAACUGCUUUUGUACGGGAAGAAACACCCCCUCGUGAGGGGGCUUGACGGUACCGUAAGAAUAAGGAUCGGCUAACUCCGUG